AGAGUUCGAUCCUGGCUCAGGAUGAACGCUGGCGGCGCGCCUAACACAUGCAAGUCGAACGGUUAAGGCGCCCUUCGGGGCGCGAAUAGAGUGGCGAACGGCUGAGUAACACGUGGGCAACCUGCCCCCCGCACCGGGACAGCCUCGGGAAACCGUGGGUAAUACCGGGUACUCCGCCACCCCCGCAUGGGGGAGGCGGGAGAGCGUAUGCGGCGGGGGAUGGGCCCGCGGCCUGUUAGCUAGUUGGCGGGGCAACGGCCCACCAAGGCGAUUAUGGGUAGCUGGGUUGAGAGACCGACCAGCCAGAUUGGGACUGAGACACGGCCCAGACUCCUACGGGAGGCAGCAGUGGGGAAUCUUGCGCAAUGGGGGCAACCCUGACGCAGCGACGCCGCGUGCGGGACGAAGGCCUUCGGGUCGUAAACCGCUUUCAGCAGGGACGAGGCCGCGAGGUGACGGUACCUGCAGAAGAAGCCCCGGCUAACUACGUGCCAGCAGCCGCGGUAAUACGUAGGGGGCGAGCGUUAUCCGGAUUCAUUGGGCGUAAAGCGCUCGUAGGCUGCCCGCUAGGUCCGGGGUCAAAUCCGGGGGCUCAACCCCCGCACGCCCCGGAUACCGGCGGGCUUGAGUCGGGUAGGGGAAGGCGGAAUUCCAGGUGUAGCGGUGGAAUGCGCAGAUAUCUGGAAGAACACCGGUGGCGAAGGCGGCCUUCUGGGCCUCGACUGACGCUGAGGAGCGAAAGCUGGGGGAGCGAACAGGAUUAGAUACCCUGGUAGUCCCAGCCGUAAACGAUGGACGCUAGGUGUGGGGGGAUUGUCCCUCCGUGCCGCAGCCAACGCA
This 840-nucleotide ribosomal RNA is filed under the name human gut metagenome. RNAcentral's name for it is "bacterial SSU rRNA". It matches the Rfam family "Bacterial small subunit ribosomal RNA", at positions 8 to 859 of the family's 1533-position model. The record is from RNAcentral.